Non-coding RNA from Caretta caretta (loggerhead turtle), 259 nucleotides. Lineage: Eukaryota; Metazoa; Chordata; Testudines; Cheloniidae. The record is from RefSeq and is a predicted model, not a curated record.
CCAUUGAGUUCCCAGGUACUUCUGUAUCCUUCGUACCUGGGACUGGGAUUAAACUAUCAGUUGGACAUGCUUCACAGAGCAUCAGUGCAAACCAGUGAAUAGAAACCUGGCUAUUCUGGUUGUAUAAUCUCUUUACUGCUUACCUGGAGAAGCCCAUCAGUACCAUCUUAGAAAGAAAUUUCUAAUCCAGAUUGAUGCCUUUGCCCAAAUGGACUACUCCCUAGUUAACUCUCCAGCAUUCUUCAGAUCAUACGUUGAU